CUACGGGAGGCAGCAGUGGGGAAUAUUGCGCAAUGGGCGAAAGCCUGACGCAGCAACGCCGUGUGAGGGAUGAAGGCUUUCGGGUCGUAAACCUCUGUCGGAAGGGAAGAACGGGCAUUGGUCUAAUAGGCCUUUGUUUUAACGGUACCUUUAGAGGAAGCACCGGCUAACUCCGUGCCAGCAGCCGCGGUAAUACGGAGGGUGCAAGCGUUAUUCGGAAUUACUGGGCGUAAAGCGCACGUAGGCCGCUUUGUAAGUCAGGGGUGAAAUCCCACGGCUCAACCGUGGAACUGCCCUUGAAACUGCAGAGCUUGAAUCCUGGAGAGGGUGGCGGAAUUCCUGGUGUAGGAGUGAAAUCCGUAGAUAUCAGGAGGAACACCGGUGGCGAAGGCGGCCACCUGGACAGGCAUUGACGCUGAGGUGCGAAAGUGUGGGGAGCAAACAGGAUUAGAUACCCCUGGUAGUCCACACCGUAAACGAUGGAUACUAGGUGCCGGACC
Molecule: ribosomal RNA, 500 nt
Filed under: uncultured sulfate-reducing bacterium
Lineage: Bacteria
Description: bacterial SSU rRNA
Rfam family: Bacterial small subunit ribosomal RNA
Source: RNAcentral